This 421-nucleotide long non-coding RNA is filed under the name Gossypium raimondii (Peruvian cotton). RNAcentral describes it as "long non-coding RNA (GRAI_LNC004646)". The record is from RNAcentral. Lineage: Eukaryota; Viridiplantae; Streptophyta; Magnoliopsida; Malvales; Malvaceae.
GCCAUAGCCGAAUGGACAUUUAGAAUUUAUUGGCUGUUUAAUUGAAAAAUAAUCAGCAAGUGCAGCCCCCUUGCCGAAUGGUCACCUCCAAAAUACAUGCAUGGCUGAAUGCAUGCUUUCUUCUAGAUGCUUGCAUUAAAAUUCGGUAAUUCCAUGCACCUUCAGCAGCCAUCAUCAUUAAUGGCGUCCUUGCACUAAGCUGGUUCCAGCUUUUAAUUUGCUGUCCACGCAUGGUGCCCAUUUAAUUUGUUGUCCACACAUGGUACCUGCACCAAUUAAAUGCAACUAAUUAAUUAGCUGGAGAUAUAAUAAAUUCGGCAGCCAUUAAGACAAUUUAUCCAUGCUUUUAAUUUCGGCUGGAACUAUGACAUGUUUAAUAUUCUGCAUUUAAACAACAGCAUUAAACAACAGCAGCAUUAAA